Vigna radiata var. radiata (mung bean) is the source of this 2125-nucleotide RNA transcript. RefSeq lists it as uncharacterized. The transcript has 13 exons. The record is from RefSeq and is a predicted model, not a curated record. Lineage: Eukaryota; Viridiplantae; Streptophyta; Magnoliopsida; Fabales; Fabaceae.
AGCCGUUGUUUUUGAGUGUCACAAAAACGAAGCUUGAAAGCAAGGUAUAUAAAAAAGCGAGUGUUGUUGUAUCCAUUUAUACUAGUUUUAUGGUUUAUGAGCCACACACUCGACACUGAGUUCAAAAGGCAGCAAUAUAUUUUAUUUUAUAUGCGACAUCGUACUCGUGGACGCAUACCAUGUUACCUCCCGUUCCUGUUCCUAUUGCUGUUGAUAUCAACGCUAUAAAAGAUAAGCUCUCCUUUCACUUGCGACCUUGGCAACGUUCUUUCCAAUUCUGGGUUCGAGCCAUUGACAUUUACACCGGAUACAAGGUGUUUCAAGUGAGAGUCAAUUUCGUCAAAGAUGUCCAGAAGCAGGAAGCAAUGUGGGAACGACAGCACGAGCUUGCUGCCGAUAAGAUUUUUGCCUUGUGUUCUGACCUCGGUGGUUUCUUCCUCAAGAUUGCCCAAAUUAUAGGGAAGCCUGAUUUGGCUCCGGCUGCAUGGGUGAAAAGACUUGUUACGCUGUGUGAUAGGGCUCCUCCUACCCCUUUUGAUGUGAUGAAACUAGUUUUGGAGAACGAGCUGGAACAGGGUAUUGAUGAUGUGUUCGAGAGGUUCGAUGUUGAACCCCUAGGUUCUGCUUCAAUUGCUCAGGUUCAUAGAGCAAGACUGAAAGGUGAUACAAGUGAUGUUGUCGUCAAGGUUCAACAUCCAGGAAUUCAGGAUCUGAUGAUGACAGAUAUCCAUAACUUGCAAGCGUUUGCACUGUACAUGCAAAAGACAGAUAUCAAAUUUGAUCUAUAUUCGGUGACUAAGGAGAUGGAAAAACAGAUUGGAUAUGAAUUUGAUUUCAAGAGGGAGGCUGAUGCGAUGGAAAGGAUAAGAAAGUUCUUGUAUGAGAAUAACAAAAAGACUCCUGUUUUGGUGCCACGAGUAAUACGAGAUAUGGUUACCAGGAGGGUCCUAGUCAUGGAAUAUAUUGAUGGGGUUCCAAUAAUGAACCUUGGUGAUGAAAUAGCAAAGAGAGGCAUAAAUCCUCGUGGUAAGGUUGCGGCAGCAGCAAAGCAGAAAAUUCUUCAAAGCUUGACUCUAGCAUAUGGUCAAAUGAUUUUAAAAAGUGGAUUCUUCCAUGCAGAUCCUCAUCCUGGGAACAUCCUGAUUUGUAAAGGAUCAGAGGUUGCCUUGCUAGACUACGGGCAGGUGAAAGAUCUCCCAGAACAGUUGAGGCUUGGCUAUGCUAAUCUAGUUCUUGCAAUUGCCAAUCGGGACCCAUUAAGAGCUGCAGAGAGCUAUAGGGAACUUGGUAUAGAAACCUUGAGCAGUUGUGAAAAUGGGCUACAAGAAUUGUUUAGACUAGCAGAGACAAUGUUUGAUACAAAAUUGCCUCCUGGGGUUGUAAUGCUGCAACCUUUCUCAGAUGAAUCUUCAAUUAAAAAAGUUGCUGUUCAGUCCUUUCCAGAAGAACUUUUUUCUGUACUUCGGACAGUGCAUCUACUGAGGGGACUUAGCGUUGGACUUGGAAUCAAUUAUUCUUGUGCAGAACAGUGGAGGCCCUUUGCAGAAGAAGCUUUGUCCCAAGCUGGCAGAUUAAAAGAUAAGAAUGUUAAGAGCAGAGGCAGGUAAAGUAAUUUUUUGAAGGGAUCAAACAGGAAGAUAUAUCAAUCUAGAUUGUUGAUUUUGAUUGACUGGUCACUUCUGCGAAGUUGAAGAAAGGAUUGUACACGUUUCAUAUAACAGUUGUUACAUUGCCAUUAUUGAAAUUUUGAGAAAAAUAUUUAACAAGGUAUGCAGUCUAUUGCUAGAUUAAGAGAGCAUCAAUAGCCUUUCCACUCAACAUACUAUUUAUGUGGCAAUAAGAUCUUGUUUUUGUUAAGAAAUCAAGGAUACUUUGUGUUUUUCAAAUACAACUGUAAAGUUGCUUGGGUAAUGAGCAAUGCAGAAAAUUCACCUGCAUGUCCUCUAAAUGGGAGUUGAAGAGCCAUAAGCAUCUCAUCCCUUUCUAUCUAUCUUUGUUGUCUUUAUAGACUAAUUUGUUGCCUAAAUAUAUAUUUCCUAUAUUACAUGUAACUAACAUGGCAUAUGGAAUAUUAACUCUCUUGGAGGGUGUUUGAUACAAAAACCUUUUUUUAAUUUUUAGGAAU